Molecule: long non-coding RNA, 326 nt
Filed under: Numida meleagris (helmeted guineafowl)
Lineage: Eukaryota; Metazoa; Chordata; Aves; Galliformes; Numididae
Description: lncRNA (ENSNMEG00000006567.1)
Source: RNAcentral
GUCACCUGGAAGUGGUGUCACCCCACGGCUCAAUGGAUGUCACCUGGUGGCAGAUGUCACCCGGUGGCGGAUGUCAGUCGCUGGCUCGAUGUCACCUGGCUGCUCGAUGUCACCUGCUGAUGGGUGUCACCCGGUGUCACGAUGUCACCCACAGUCAGUUGUCUUCAGCCCUUCCGGUGGUGAAUGUCACCCGGUGGCACGAUGUCACCCGGAAGCGUUGUCACCCCAUGGCUCAAUGAUGUCACCUGGUGGCAGGUGUCACCCGGUGUGACCUCAGGACACGCGUGGCCUUUGCUUAGUACCCGAAUGGGAUAAAUUAUCCCCCU